Molecule: ribosomal RNA, 802 nt
Filed under: uncultured Pseudomonadota bacterium
Lineage: Bacteria; Pseudomonadati; Pseudomonadota
Description: bacterial SSU rRNA
Rfam family: Bacterial small subunit ribosomal RNA
Source: RNAcentral
AAAGCCCCUUCGGGGGCAAGUAGAGUGGCGCACGGGUGAGUAACACGUAGGUAAUCUACCUUCGGAUGGGGAAUAACAACCGGAAACGGUUGCUAAUACCGCAUAAUGCAGCGGCACCUAAUGGUGACAGUUGUUAAAGCGGGGGAUCGCAAGACCUCGCGUCUGAAGAGGAGCCUGCGGCGGAUUAGCUAGUUGGUAGGGUAACGGCCUACCAAGGCGACGAUCCGUAGCCGGCCUGAGAGGGCGGUCGGCCACACUGACACUGACAUACGGGUCAGACUCCUACGGGAGGCAGCAGUCGGGAAUUUUGGGCAAUGGGCGAAAGCCUGACCCAGCAACGCCGCGUGAAGGAUGAAAUCCCUCGGGAUGUAAACUUCGCAAGAACGGGAAGAAUAAGUCUGCGCGAACAUCGCAGGCGAUGACGGUACUGUUUGUAAGCUCCGGCUAACUCCGUGCCAGCAGCCGCGGUAAUACGGGGGGAGCAAGCGUUGUUCGGAUUUACUGGGCGUAAAGGGCGCGUAGGCGGCCACUGCAAGUCAAUUGUGAAAUCUCCGGGCUUAACUCGGAAAGGUCAACUGAUACUGCAGGGCUAGAGUGCGGAAGGGGCAACUGGAAUUCUCGGUGUAGCGGUGAAAUGCGUAGAUAUCGAGAGGAACACCUGCGGCGAAGGCGGGUUGCUGGGCCGACACUGACGCUGAGUGCGCGAAAGCUAGGGGAGCGAACGGGAUUAGAUACCCCGGUAGUCCUAGCCUUAAACGAUGAAUGCUUGGUGUCUGGGGUUUUAUAGUCCCCGGGUGCCGUC